Molecule: long non-coding RNA, 150 nt
Filed under: Neodiprion pinetum (white pine sawfly)
Lineage: Eukaryota; Metazoa; Arthropoda; Insecta; Hymenoptera; Diprionidae
Description: uncharacterized LOC124210650
Source: RNAcentral
AAAAAUCUGCAAUAUCUCGAUCAUGAUUCGCUACUGUGUCCCUUUCGGAAGUUCGGAUGCGUGACUCCAGUUCUGGUGCUGUUCUACAAUUACUUCGCGACCCGAUCCCUGAAACCCCUAACCAUGGGUUCAGGGAGUACCUUGUAACGG